RNAcentral lists this ribosomal RNA (253 nucleotides) under uncultured bacterium. Its description in RNAcentral is "partial 16S ribosomal RNA". It matches the Rfam family "Bacterial small subunit ribosomal RNA", at positions 524 to 776 of the family's 1533-position model. The record is from RNAcentral.
GACGUAGGGGGCGAGCGUUGUCCGGAUUCAUUGGGCGUAAAGGGCUCGUAGGCGGUCUGUUGCGUCGGUAGUGAAAACUCAGGGCUUAACCCUGAGCCUGCUUCCGAUACGGGCAGACUAGAGGUAUGCAGGGGAGAACGGAAUUCCUGGUGUAGCGGUGAAAUGCGUAGAGAUCCGGAGGAACACCAGUGGCGAAGGCAGGUCUCUGGGCUGACACUGACGCUCAUGCACGAAAGCGUGGGGAGCAAACAGG